This 3680-nucleotide long non-coding RNA is filed under the name Mus musculus (house mouse). Its description in RNAcentral is "long non-coding RNA chr11:23271588-23275268". The record is from RNAcentral. Lineage: Eukaryota; Metazoa; Chordata; Mammalia; Rodentia; Muridae.
AAAGCUGUUAAUGUGGCUUAGUGAAUAGAGGUAUACUUUUUUUUUUCUUUUCCCUGAGACAGGGUUUUUCUAUGUAUCCCUGGCUGUCCUGGAACUCACUCUGUAGACCAGGCUGGCCUUGAACUCAGAACUGCCUCUGCCUCCCAAUUGCUGGGAUUAAAGGCGCGUGCCACCACUGCCAGGCUGGCUCUCGUUCUCUCUCUCUCUCUCUCUCUCUCUCUCUCUCAUAUUCCUUUUGAGGGAGGGUAGGCAGAGUCAGUUUGUCCAUCCUUCUCCAUCUGUGUCCCUUCAUCUGUGAGGGACAGAAGGAGGUGACAGAUCUUUUGGUGCUGGAGUUACUGGUAAUGACAUUAAUUAAGCUGGGGUGGUAGCACAGGCUUUUAAUCCCAGCACUUCAGAGACAGAGGCAGACAGAUCUGAGUUAGAAACUAGCCUGUUCUACAGAGUGAGUUUCAGUACAUCCAGGGCCACAAGGAGAAACUGUGUCUCAAAAACAAACAAACAAACAAACAAACAAACAAACAGCAAACAAAAAACCCCAAAAAAAAAAAAAAAACCUAAAGGUGGCUGGAGAGAUUUAAGAGCAUUGAAUUCCCUGCCAGUACCUGGUGGCUCAUAACCAUCUACAAAGAGAUCUGGUGCCCUCUUGUGGUUUGCAGGUAUAACAUUUUAUACGUAAUAAAUCUUUUUUUUUUUUUAAACAAAGGGAACAAAUAAGUAAUGACAAAGUGUGUGAUGGGAACUGGGCACAGGUUCUCUGGAAGAGCAGGAAGUGCCUUUGCAUCAUCUUUCCAGCCCUGUUCCUGUUUAAUGAAAGUUUUGUUUAUUUUUUAUUGGGAUGGUAUCCUAUUAUAGUCAGGUUGUUUUAUAGGUAAGGGUGACUUCAGCACCUCCACCUGAGGACUAGGAGGACAGAUCUGAGCCUCCACCGCUUUGAGAGUACUGAUCAAACCCAAGACUUCAAACAUAGUAUACAAGCAUUCUACCACCUUAGCCUGGUCUACAUAAAACAUGCACAUAUAACAGCUCGUUGUACAUUUGGCCAGCUUGGUCAACAAAAGAAAAGGGUGGGGAUUAAAUCUGGGCUGAACCUUGCUUUGGAAUAACCUUUAAAACCCAUGGGAUACCAGAUAUUCUACUGGUUUUAACCUGGCAUUCAUAAUAAAGUUAGUAACUUCAAAGAAGCUAACCUAUUUGAUUGUAAUUCUGCAUACCUGGAAUCCUAGGCAGUGUGGAGGCCAAGGGAGAAAAUUGCCAUCUUUGUUAUAUAGCAAGUACCAGGUCUCACAGACCUAACACUCUGGAAGCUCAGAUCUGUAUUGAAGUCCUGAGCAGCUUCUCUCUUCAGACUUCUGAUAUGGUCUGGGAUCCAGUGUUUCCCCAGGACUAGUAUCUCCACCCUUCCUGUACAGGUGCAUCUGUUUUUGUUUGUUUGCUAUCUUUUUCUUUUAUAGACAGUGUUUCCUGGUGCCAUCCUAGCUGUCCUACACCUUACUGUGUAGACCAGGUGGCCUAAAAUUCAGAUACCCACCUGUCCCUGCCUCUCAAGUGCUGGGGCUAGAUAAAGGUGUGUACCACUAGGCCAGACUAAGACAUAUUCAAGGGACAGACUCUUGUACUAGUUAUUUCUGUGUGCUACACCUUUCACUGACCUGCAGGAAGUCAUCUUUGCACGUCUAUGUACACCUUACUUGAUUUCUGCCAGAAAGUCUCAAACCAUUAUAACCACAUUCAUUAGUUCAGUGUACACAUAGGUAGUCCCAGCACAUUGAGGGCUGUAUAAGUGGGAUUGGUUCUGAAAUGGCAAUUUUACUGUAAAGAUAUGCUUAUAUUUAUAUGUUAUAUGUGUGUGUCCUUGAAAGGGCACAGGAUUCCCCCGGCUCUUAAGUUAGACCUUGUGAAUCUGUGCUAGGAACCAAACUUGAGUCCUCUGCAAGAUCAACAAGCACUGCUGCUCCCAUCUCUCCUAACUGUAAAAAGCCAUCUUAAUGAGAAAGAAGUAAUGUGCAAUAGGGGUAAAAAGAACUUUGUUGCAAUGUUACCAUUUUGUUCUGAAAUGCUGUAAUGGCCAUUUAGCCGUAAGCCAGAAAUUAACAUCUAUAUGUUUUAUAGUUUUUAGUGUAGGGUUUUAUUUGUUGUUGAUUGAGAAACUAUAGCCCAAAGAGAUGAAGAACUCACUUUGUGUAACCCUGGCUGGCAGGUGUAAGUCAUCACACUUGGCUGAAGUUUAAGUUUGUCUUGUGUCCCAUACACAUUUGUUUUCCUGGAACUUGUGCAGUAGACCAGCCUGGCCUCAAUUUCAGGGGUCAAUCUGCCUCCCCAGUGCUGCAACUGUCUCUUAGGAAGUUUUAAGUUUUAAAAAGAAAUAUUUCAGCUGGGCGGUGGUGGCAGUUCCCAAAAACCAUCGGACUCAGAAUAGGUCAAUCUCUGGAGUAUGAGGCCAUUGCCAGGUCAGAGUUGGUUACUUAGUAAGAUCCUGUUUCCAAAACCUGUGCCUAACCUGAGCGCGCAACUCUUUUUUUUUUUUUUUUUUUCUUCACAGAUUUAUUUAUUUAUUAUAUGUAAGUACACUGUAGCUGUCUUCAGAAACUCCAGAAGAGGGAGUCAGAUCUCUUUACGGAUGGUUGUGAGCCACCAUGUGGUUUAUGGGAUUUAAACUCAGGACCUUCAGUAGAGUAGUCAGGUGCUCUUACCGGCUGAGCCAUCUCACCAGCCCGAGCACCUGACUCUUAACAGCGGAGAUUCUGGGGUGUGUGCACCACAUAGAUGUUAGAUGUGUGCAUACAAGUGAAGGCCUAGGCAAUAACAUCUAUCCCCAAAAUGGACAGAAACUACACCUGUGUUGUAUUUCCAAUGCUUUCUAUUAUUUAUUUUUAUUUGUCUUGGUUUUUUUUUCCCCUGUUUUCUUUUUUUAAGAUUUAUUUAUCUAUUUUAUGUAUAUGAGUACACAAUUGCUCUCUUCAGACUCACCAGAAGAUCGGAUCCCAUUAUAGAUGGUUGUGAGCCACCAUGUGGUUGCUGGGAAUUUUACUUAGGACCUCUGGUAUAGAAGCUGGUGCGCUUAACCACUGAGCCAUCUCCAGUCUUGGUUUUGUUUUUUUCAAGAUAGUUUCACUGCAUAGUUGUGGCUGGCCUCAAACUCACAGACAUAAGCUUGCCUCUGCCUCCUGAGCUCUCACUCCAGCUGCCAGCCAGGACUAUACAUUGAGAUCCAGCUUUACAUUUAAAAAGUAAAAAUAAAAGUUCAAGUCAAUACUAACACAGGGCUAAUGAUCAGUCUAAAUUAAGACCCUGUUUCAAAGAUGAGAGGAAGAUGAAAAAGAUGAAAAGAAGUAAGCCUGAGUAUUGGGAAAACAGAUAUGGGAAGAUCAACUCUAAAUUCAAGACCUGUGUAGUAUACAGUGUUUCAGGCUAGUUACUUUCUUAAAAAUAGCUUUGGAGGGUGAGGCCUUCAGGAUCAUCCUUAGAUAUAUAGGAGUUUUAUUUAGGCCAGUCCAGCUACAGGAAAUAAGAAAUACUGUUGUUCUAUUAUUAGGCAGAGGGCAAAUGAUUACUUAAUUUAAAAAAAAAAAAGAAAGAAACAGAAACUAUCAGUAAAAGCUAAAGCAGUAAGUGAUCCUUUGAAGAAAAUGUACCUACAGAUGUAUGGAUUUUCUUUGUAAAAAAUAGAGGACAGUUGC